Non-coding RNA from Schistosoma rodhaini, 45 nucleotides. Lineage: Eukaryota; Metazoa; Platyhelminthes; Trematoda; Strigeidida; Schistosomatidae. The record is from Rfam.
AGCCAGCUGACGAGUCCCAAACAGGACGAGAUUCGCAUCCUGGGU